This is an unclassified non-coding RNA of Vombatus ursinus (common wombat), 286 nucleotides long. It matches the Rfam family "Metazoan signal recognition particle RNA". From Rfam's summary of the family: The signal recognition particle (SRP) is a universally conserved ribonucleoprotein. It is involved in the co-translational targeting of proteins to membranes. The eukaryotic SRP consists of a 300-nucleotide 7S RNA and six proteins: SRPs 72, 68, 54, 19, 14, and 9. The record is from Ensembl. Lineage: Eukaryota; Metazoa; Chordata; Mammalia; Diprotodontia; Vombatidae.
GCUAUACAGAAGGGUAGCACAUAGUCCCUGCUACUGAGGAGGCUGAAGCUGGUAAAUUCCUUGAACUCAGGAGUUUUGAGCUACUGUGUGCUAAAGCUAAAUGGAUGUCCAUUUUAAGUCCAGUACCAAUAUGGUGAGCCCCUGGGAGCAGGGGCCACCAGGCUGCCUAAGGAGGCAGGUUCAGCUUGGAAACAGAGCAGGUCAAAGCUUCUGUGGUGAUAAACAGUGGGAUCAGUUCUGUGAGUUGCCCCUGUACUUCCAGCUUGAGCAAGAUAGACAGAAUCCC